RNAcentral lists this long non-coding RNA (295 nucleotides) under Setaria viridis. RNAcentral's name for it is "long non-coding RNA (SVIR_LNC005136)". The record is from RNAcentral. Lineage: Eukaryota; Viridiplantae; Streptophyta; Magnoliopsida; Poales; Poaceae.
UCCGUUGGAUGCAUGCCUCCUUGAUUCCUUUCUUCUUCAUUCAUUCAUGGUGUAACUGAAGAGGAAUCCAAUAGCACAUGAUUUUCAACCAACAGAUCGCUCUCAUGGUUUUCAAUAUAGUAAUCUUCACAAUCACAAGUGAACCAUUUUAUGCAAGCAACUAAACAGUCAUUAUCUGGCUCCACAGUUGCACCAUUUAUGCGAGCAACUAAACAUGCACCGUCCUUCCACCUCCCAAUUUUCUCUUCCUCAACUGAUUAUUUAUAAAAACUAUCUAAUAAAUGUUCCACGGCGC